Adelges cooleyi (spruce gall adelgid) is the source of this 353-nucleotide long non-coding RNA. RefSeq lists it as uncharacterized. The transcript is spliced from 3 exons. The record is from RefSeq and is a predicted model, not a curated record. Lineage: Eukaryota; Metazoa; Arthropoda; Insecta; Hemiptera; Adelgidae.
GUUUGCCUUGUACAUGUGAUUCGAUUGACUCGUAUGGGUUUGUAGAACUUCAACAAGAGAGAACAAAGCUAACUCGUGAUGUUAUACAACUAUCUAUCAAUCUUGCAUCAAGACAAGGCCAUGUCGAUUUCGGAGAUUGUUGUAUGAUGUGUCGGUUGAAGGGUGUGCUCAGUAGUAUAUUAUACCCAAAUAAGUUUAUUGUAGAAGCUAAAGUUGAUGGUGAUAAAUGUCAUCUAAAAGAUAUUAAUGAUAAAACAUACGAAGCCAACUGCAUUGGAGAUGACUAAUUAGAAAAGCAUUAUUUAUAUAUUAAAAAGUAUUCACCUGCUUCUAAGUUGUUAUAAUUUAGACCA